Molecule: ribosomal RNA, 483 nt
Filed under: uncultured bacterium
Lineage: Bacteria
Description: partial 16S ribosomal RNA
Rfam family: Bacterial small subunit ribosomal RNA
Source: RNAcentral
UUGAACGCUGGCGGCAGGCCUAACACAUGCAAGUCGAGCGGAUGAAGGGAGCUUGCUCCUGGAUUCAGCGGCGGACGGGUGAGUAAUGCCUAGGAAUCUGCCUGGUAGUGGGGGAUAACGUCCGGAAACGGGCGCUAAUACCGCAUACGUCCUGAGGGAGAAAGUGGGGGAUCUUCGGACCUCACGCUAUCGGAUGAGCCUAGGUCGGAUUAGCUAGUUGGUGGGGUAAAGGCCUACCAAGGCGACGAUCCGUAACUGGUCUGAGAGGAUGAUCAGUCACACUGGAACUGAGACACGGUCCAGACUCCUACGGGAGGCAGCAGUGGGGAAUAUUGGACAAUGGGCGAAAGCCUGAUCCAGCCAUGCCGCGUGUGUGAAGAAGGUCUUCGGAUUGUAAAGCACUUUAAGUUGGGAGGAAGGGCAGUAAGUUAAUACCUUGCUGUUUUGACGUUACCAACAGAAUAAGCACCGGCUAACUUCGUG